UGGGGAAUUUUCCGCAAUGGGCGAAAAGCCUGACGGAGCAAUGCCGCGUGGAGGUGGAAGGCCUACGGGUCGUCAACUUCUUUUCUCGGAGAAGAAACAAUGACGGUAUCUGAGGAAUAAGCAUCGGCUAACUCUGUGCCAG
RNAcentral lists this ribosomal RNA (142 nucleotides) under uncultured bacterium. RNAcentral describes it as "partial 16S rRNA". It matches the Rfam family "Bacterial small subunit ribosomal RNA", at positions 355 to 511 of the family's 1533-position model. The record is from RNAcentral.